CCUACGGGUGGCAGCAGUCGAGAAUCAUUCACAAUGGGGGAAACCCUGAUGGUGCGACGCCGCGUGGGGGAAUGAAGGUCUUCGGAUUGUAAACCCCUGUCAUGUGGGAGCAAAUUAAAAAGAUAGUACCACAAGAGGAAGAGACGGCUAACUCUGUGCCAGCAGCCGCGGUAAUACAGAGGUCUCAAGCGUUGUUCGGAAUCACUGGGCGUAAAGCGUGCGUAGGCUGUUUCGUAAGUCGUGUGUGAAAGGCGCGGGCUCAACCCGCGGACGGCACAUGAUACUGCGAGACUAGAGUAAUGGAGGGGGAACCGGAAUUCUCGGUGUAGCAGUGAAAUGCGUAGAUAUCGAGAGGAACACUCGUGGCGAAGGCGGGUUACUGGACAUUAACUGACGCUGAGGCACGAAGGCCAGGGGAGCGAAAGGGAAUAGAUACCCCAGUAGUC
This 446-nucleotide ribosomal RNA is filed under the name uncultured bacterium. RNAcentral describes it as "partial 16S ribosomal RNA". It matches the Rfam family "Bacterial small subunit ribosomal RNA", at positions 338 to 795 of the family's 1533-position model. The record is from RNAcentral.